GACGAACGCUGGCGGCGUGCCUAAUACAUGCAAGUUGAACGCUUCCUUCUUAUCGAACUUCGGUUCACCAAGAAAGAAGAGUAGCGAACGGGUGAGUAACACGUGGGUAACCUGCCCAUCAGCGGGGGAUAACACUUGGAAACAGGCGCUAAUACCGCAUAAUACUUUUUCUCUCAUGAGUGAAAGUUGAAAGGCGCUUUUGCGUCACUGAUGGAUGGACCCGCGGUGCAUUAGCUAGUUGGUAGGGUAACGGCCUACCAAGGCAACGAUGCAUAGCCGACCUGGGAGGGUGAUCGGCCACACUGGGACUGAGACACGGCCCAGACUCCUACGGGAGGCAGCAGUAGGGAAUCUUCGGCAAUGGACGAAAGUCUGACCGAGCAACGCCGCGUGAGUGAAGAAGGUUUUCGGAUCGUAAAACUCUGUUGUUAGAGAAGAACAAGGAUGAGAAGAGAAUGUUCAUCCCUUGACGGUAUCUAACCAGAAAGCCACGGCUAACUACGUGCCAGCCGCCGCCGUAA
This 521-nucleotide ribosomal RNA is filed under the name uncultured bacterium. RNAcentral describes it as "partial 16S ribosomal RNA". It matches the Rfam family "Bacterial small subunit ribosomal RNA", at positions 28 to 523 of the family's 1533-position model. The record is from RNAcentral.